Molecule: long non-coding RNA, 312 nt
Organism: Neofelis nebulosa (Clouded leopard)
Lineage: Eukaryota; Metazoa; Chordata; Mammalia; Carnivora; Felidae
Exons: 2
Source: RefSeq, a predicted model, not a curated record
GCAGGUUCAAAUGGAGAAGGAAUAAAGUUUGAGGACAUAUGAGAGAAAAAAUUAAGAUAGGCGGGGAGGGCAGAGAAAGAGGGCGACAGAGGAUCCGAAGUGGGCUCUGCACUGACAGCAAGCAAUGAGGGACUCAAACUUACAAACUGCAAGAUCAUGACCUGAGCCAAAGUCAGACGCUCAAAGGACUGAGCCACCCAAGUGCCCUUCCCAGUGUCCUCUUAAUGAAAGGAAAACUUCAGUUCCAGGAAUAAGUGUGCUUCUAAGAACCUUCUUAAUCUUAAAGACACAAUAAACAAUAUAAUGAUCCUA